Molecule: long non-coding RNA, 2669 nt
Organism: Alligator sinensis (Chinese alligator)
Lineage: Eukaryota; Metazoa; Chordata; Crocodylia; Alligatoridae
Exons: 3
Source: RefSeq, a predicted model, not a curated record
UUUAAUAAUGCAGAGUGAAUCCCUUUAACACAAACAAAUACAUCUAUAACUUCAAGAAUAAAGUGUUUGUGUCAAUGAUUUAUAUUAAGGAAAUCUUGAUAUCACAGUGGCACAUCUGAAUAUAAGAAAAAGAACUGAGUGGCUGGAGCGGUAGAAUGGGAUUGGACUGAAAGGUGAAAAUGCACAAAUGAUUACUAUAUUUACAUUUAAGCCAAAAGUUGCCUCCUGUUAGUAAAAUUUCUACAGAAAAUUAAGAAAAUAAAUACUAUAUGCAAAAGUUUCAUGCUAUGCAUUUGUUGCGUAGACAUAGAUUGAUCUUGAAAUUAUUAAAUCAAUCUUUUUAUAUUUAUUGCAAUAAUUAAAGAGGCGACAAGAAUACUAUUCUCAUGUUUUUGUUACAUAAGCUUUGCAUUGGAAGCCUCUUUAAAACAGGCAGAAAGAAAAGACUAUAGUGUUCUUCAUAUAAGUGAAUCUUUUAUUGUGUACCAGCACCAUUCUUUCAAGGUGUGCUGGUCUGAAUUAUUGCCUACAAUGAAUCACAUAUGAUAGAGAUAAAUGGGAAAGAAUGUGACUGUGUAUAUUAUUCAGGAAAAAAGCCCCACUGAGUUCAGCUAGGGAAACCAAGAGAGAUCCUGGGAUGAAAAUUCAUCUAAAUGGUAAUAAAUGGUAAUAACCUUCUUCAAAAAAGGGGAGGGGAGAACUACUAUUGUCCUGACAAAACAUUAAACUACCCUUAGAUGUUUAACUGUGUGCCAGUGAAACAGUAUUUAUGUAACUUUGAUCUUUACUGUUCAACAAGAAGGAGAAAGUGCCCAUGAUCCCCUGAAAUGAAAGAGGAAAAACUCCCUCUCCCCUUAGCCACACUUAUGCACGAAUUUUCUACCUCUCCUUUUGUGUUCGGGGCCCUCUUUUACCCACUUAACAUGUCCUGGAAACCACACCAUGUUGACUCACAAAACAGAUUUGAAAUCAAGCCACAAGAGUAGUCCAUGCUUACUUUCUGGCUGUGCUUGGCUUGCCCUGGUCAGACCUGAUGAAGAAUGUCUUACAUUGGAAAACUUGUCUAACUAUCCCAUCUAUGCAGCUGGUCCAGUAAAAGAUUUCACCCUAAGAAAUCCUUGCCUCUCACACAAUUCCUGGUCCAUCAUAGCUACAACAUGACUAUUAUACUACUUUCUAGCUGUGCAUUUGUGAUUUGUCAGCUUACCAGAGUUCAGGGAAGAACCGUCUGUCUGACAAAACAGCCAGGCACCUGUGGCCACAGCAAUGCACAGGAGGCAGCAGUGACUUCCAGCUGUUGCUGUGCCUCCAGCAUCUCUUCUAGGAAACUGCAUCCUGACUUCAAGGUAGAAUGUGUAUGUGGUCAGCCCUAAACUACCUACUCUUUAGGUGAACCCAGACCCACAGAUUUUAGGAGCCACGGAGAGAGAUGCUCUUGUGGGAAGUGGUGGUCAGGGAAGGGGUAGGAGGCACACAGUAAAGUGCAAGAAUCUACAAUGCUUUGGACUGACAAGUCAGGAUUUCACUCCACAGGUUGGGCAGCCUGGGGCCAUCCCUGGGGAAGUUGGCAGACGGGAGCAUGGACUCCUUAUACCAGGUCUCUGAGGAAGGAGCCAAGGCAGGACAGAAACCUCAUGGAGAUCUCCCAAGUUCCUUCCAUCCCGAUGGAGGCAAAGGGGGAAGUUUUCCAAAAGAAGAGAAAAUCUUGUGUUUGCAAAGUUGGAGCUCACACCCUGGAAGUCGUGCGUCCUGAUUUUUUUCUUUUUCUUCAGUUGUUAAAAUUGCUUCUGGAAGGUUUGUUGCUCCCUGCCUGGCAUUUAUCUGGUGGUUGGGACCAGCGUGUUCACGGACAGGCGUGCAAGGACAUCUUACAGAACAGCAAACGUACUCCGCUUGACUCUGGGUGUGAGGUUCAGGCCAUCAUGCUUAACCUCACCUAAGUCUCAUGGGGUGGUCACUGUGGCGGCCAGCCCACCCGGGGCUAACCAGGACCCCCACUUACGUAUUACACUUCUUUUUACUGGCGACUGAGAUGGAAGGGUAAGAUGCAGCUGCUCAAGAGCUCCUUCCUCUGAAGUAUCGUCCGGCCAAGGCAAAAUAUUCUAGGCCCCCCUCAGGAACCGGAGCUAGGAGGAAAGGCUGGUGGCACGUUUCAGCAAUUCCUUGGCACCCGCCUCCCCAGGGGAGAAAGGCCUCCGCGCCCACAGCACCGCACCUCAGAGCACAGGGGGUCGCUUGCAAAGGACCCACGAGCGGCUCCCGGGCAGGACAGGGCAGAGGAGCUGCAGGGUCCGGGCCCCGGACGCGGGUGUGGGGCCGCCGCCUGGCGCGGGGCGCGCGGACGCGGAGGUGACAGGACGGGACGGGACGCGACGCGGCGCGGGCUAGUGCCCGGGGGAGGGCGGUGCUAGCUAGACCCUUCCCGCGCCGCAGCGAGAAGACGCCGGCGUCCCGCGGCGUGGAAGAUACAUGAUUAGGAAGCCACUGAGAAAUGUGUUCAUCACCCUUGUAUACAUUGACAAGAAGUAGUUUCUCCUAACAGGACAGAUUGGCAGUCUCCAACCUUUUUAAGCACAAGAUCACUUUUUGAAUUAAAGUGCAACCCCAGGAUCUAACCUCCAGACCAGGCUGAUACCACCAUAGGUAGAGGGAGAAAAAAUUAUUUGGGG